This 220-nucleotide long non-coding RNA is filed under the name Lathyrus oleraceus (garden pea). RNAcentral's name for it is "Pisum sativum (pea) long non-coding RNA (PSAT_LNC006252)". The record is from RNAcentral. Lineage: Eukaryota; Viridiplantae; Streptophyta; Magnoliopsida; Fabales; Fabaceae.
UAAGAACAAAGUGUUUUACGUUUCAAGCAAAAGCUUUGUGAAAUAUUGAGAGAGAUGAAGAAUGUUUUUGUGUAUGCUUGCUUUCUCUAACCUCUCAAAGUUGAUGUUUCAGUAAAAUCUUGUGAUGUUGUACUUGUUUCUCUCAAUGUUGAUUUGCAGUCCUUUAUAUAGAAGAGAAGGAUCCGUUGAAAAAUCAUAGCAGAUAAUAACUCUUGAAUAA